CUUGGCCUACAUCCAGCUGCAGGUCCUUUGCCGGCGCCUUCUCUCUCGCGUCUGAACGCAGCGCGGCCGCGCUCGGUCCGGCCCGCGGUUCUGUUCCGUUCGCCGCACGUGCGCCCGAUCCCCUCCCGGGUCCCCUCUUCCGGCCUGGCUCCGACCCGCGCAUCUGCAUACCCACUGCGGGCGCCCGGGUCUGCUGGCGUCGCUGGGGAGGCCGGGACUCGGUGUCAGGCCUCGGAGGCCACUCGGGUUCCCCCCGAGCCUGGGGACCUGUCCCAGCUCGCACACCGAGCAGCUCCAGUUCGCGGUUGGUUGGGGCCGAAGCGCGCGGGAGCCGAGCGCCCGGUCGGCAGAACUCGAGACUCGCACAGACCCCCCAUCCUCCUGCCCAGACACCUGUUCAUGCUCCCGGGAACCCCCUCCUCAUCCCCAACACACACAUCCGGACCCAGUUUCCAAGCCAGCAGCCCGGACCCCCAUCCAGGUCAGACCCACACCCCCUGCGGGGUGCCCCCCAACACCUACCCCUCUGGACCUCUGGCCCCCUCCCGCGGUCCCCAGGGCUGCCGCUCCCUUGUUCCAGCGGGGUGAGGACUGCCAUCCCAGAUGCUUGCCUGUCCCUGCCUCUCUGCCCAGCACUGCCCUGCUCACGCCAGGCCUCUUGUCCCCGACCUGUGGCCGACUGUCCUCCCUGCCUCAGCCUUUGCCAGUCAAGACUUCUGGCCUCAAUGGGGGGUGAGGGGGCUCCACUUCACAAAGACCUGGGCCUGUGUUUGUGCUAUGUGACCUCGGCUGUGUGACACAGCCUCUCUGAGCCCCGUGGUGUCAUCAUCUGGGGAAUGGAAGAUAACCAGGCCAUCAGGUGUCGGGGGUGGGUACCUGGAGGGACCUCUGUCUCCGUGCUUCCCCAUCCAAAGGGCCUGAGUCAGGGCCGGGGAGGGUUGGAGCAGAUAGAAUGGGGAAUGGAGAAGCCUUUGCACUGGCUGUUCCUCCUGCCUGGGACGCCCUUCCUGCGAGUCCACGCGGCCCUUCCCCCCUCCCUUGGGUCUUUAGUGAAAGGUUCACCCCACAUGACCCAUUCUCCUCCCCCUGCCUGUCCCCCUCGCCAGCUCUCUCUCUUCAGCCCUCCUCCCUCUCGGUUUUUAGACCUGUGCCUGCCAGCCUCCCCCUGGAAGAUGUUCACCCCUCAAGGCUAGGGGGUUCCGCCUUGAUCCCCCGGUGACCCUAACGUGGGAGACGGGGCCCGGUACACAGUGAAUGUCUCACGGAUGUUCUUUAAGGGUGCAGAGAAUGGGGAGAAAUGAAGCUUGUCCAAGAAAGGCUCAGAAGAGGGGGCCUGCUGGGUAUACCCGCAAGUCUGUAUGUCUCCUUGUCGGGGUGUCUCCGUGUCCAUCUGGGUCUCUGUGCAUUUUUGUGUUCCUUAGUGUGUUUCUGGGGUGUCUGUGUGCAAGCAUCUGAACAUGGAUAUGCGCAGCCUCAACUUCUCUGGCUACGUGCAGGGGUGGGGCGGUGGGAGGAGGGUGCUGAGCUUUCCUCCCUGGAGCGGCACUGCCUCCCCCAAGGGCCCUCCCUGCUCCCAGGGGGGCGGGCUAACCGCCUUGGGUGGACGAUGCCCGCCCCCUAGCCCAGGGUUCCCUGCAGCCCAGCAGGGCACCCACGCUGGGAGCUUUACAGAGCCCAACAUAUCCAGCCCUGUCUGUGAAGCAAGUGCAUUUAAAAUUCCCAUUUCAGGGGCACCUGAGUGGCUCAGUUGGUUAAGUGUCUGCCUUUGGCUCAGGUCGUAAUCCCAGGGUCCCGGGAUCAAGCCCCUCAUUGGGCUCCCUGCUUGGCAGAGAGUCUGCUUCUCCCUCUCCCUGCCACUCCUCCUGCUUGUGCUCUCUCUCUCUCUCUCUAAUAAAUAAAUAAAAUCUUUAAAAAAUUAAAUAAAAAUGCCCAUUUCAUAGAUGAGGACACAAGCGCAGAGGGGUGCAGUCAGCUGCCCAAGGCCACACAGCCAGAGAAGAGGCAGCUUUGAACUCAGCUCCUCCUGACCUCUUACCUUUUGUCAGCACCCUGCUUUCUUUCUUCUUUCCCUUUGCUGGAUUGGGAGGCUCAUGGGUGGGGACACAGAGGGUCUGCACCUUCCCUCAGCCUUGGUAGACUCACCUCCCCUUGCUCUGAAUGUCCUUACUCACCUAUCCCCAGGGCUGGCCUGGGCCCCGACACCUACUGUGCAUCUGUCCUUACCUUCCUGCUCAUAGGACGUCCUUCCAGGUUCAUUGAUUCCCGCCUUCCACCCCGACACUCCACAGGCCAUCCAGGAGGCUCUCAUUUCUCCUCAUCCCCACCUGCAUGCCUGUGACUUCUGUACAAUCUAGCAGACAAAACAUCCGGGGCCUAGAGGUACCGUGACCUGCCAUCCAAUGUACCUGGGACAUGGAACAGUCCGGAGCAAGCCAUGGCAGUUGGUCAUCCUAGCAGGAGGUAGGGUCACUUGCCCUUGGUGACACAGCAAGAUCAGGAGCCCCCAUGUCAACACCUGUUGAUCCAAGACACCAUCCCCUCUCCUAGGAGGAAACUGAGUCCUAUUUUUUUUUAAGAUUUUAUUUAUUUAUUCAUGAGAGACACAGAGAGAGGCAGAGACACAGGCAGAGGGAGAAGCAGGCUCCCUGCGGGGAGCCCAAUGCAGGACUUGAUUGCCAUUCAAUAUCCCAAUUUACAGUCAAGUCGAGGGUUUUUAAGAUAGUCACAGGGUUGGGCAGGUUUCACCACCUUGUUUUUUGUUUUGUUUUUAAGUAAGCUCUAUGCCCAACGUGGGGCUUGAACUCAUGGCCCUGAGAUCAAGGGUCGCAUGCUCUAACGAGUGAACCAGCCAGGUGCCCCACCUGGCUUCUUCUUUUUAAGGGAACCAGUCCCCUGAUCUGAGGAACAGUGUAAUGAACACCCUGGUGCAGACCCAGAAGUACAAUAGCCAGUCACAGGGUGUGCAAAGGUAGAGUGUUUUUUUAAGAUUUUAUUUAUUUGACACAGAGCACAAGCGGGGGUAGGAGGAGCAGCAGGCAGAGGGAGAGGGAGAAGCAGGCUCCCCGCUGAGCAGGGAGCCCGAUGUGGGGCUCCAUCCCAGGACCCUGGGAUCAUGAUCUGAGCCAAAGGCAAAUACUUAACUGACUGAGCCACCCACGUGCCCCUAGAAGCUCUUAAAACAAUUUAUUUAAGUAAUCUUGACACCUGAUAUGGGGCUUGAACUUAUGAUCCCGAGAUUAGGAAUUGCACAUUCCCCUAAUUGAGACAGCCAGGUGCCCCAAAGCUCUUUUUAAUAUUAAGGAAUUUACUUCUUAUUCUCUGACAUAAGCUGUAGUUUUCUCCACCCUCCACUCCCACCCAGUUUGUUGUAUUUUUACCUCGUUUAUUAUUGUUUUCUGUCCAUGUGGAUUUGGAUUUCCAAAAAUCCAUUUGGAUUUUUAGGAAGCUGGACUCACCUUUUUCUUUUGUGGCUUUUAUGUUUAAUUAUUUUUCUUAGAAAGACCUUAGCUAUUCUCAAAUUGCUAUUUUUAAAAAGCCCCUAUGUGUUUUUUCCCCUAGUACUUUUAUGAUUUUAUUUCUCACGUGUCAAACUUUGAUCCAGCAGGAAUUUGUAUUGAGAUAAGGUGUGAGGUAGGGACCUGACUUUUGUUCUUUCCGUUGUCCCAACAGUGUUCAUUGCAUCAUCUACCCUUUAGAUAGUGCAGCGCUAGGGCUGUCACGUCUACAAGGAGGGUAGUUGUAAGGUGUGGGGGGAAGCUAGACUUGGCACAACAUGAAAACUGUUUGCUACUUAAUUGAUAAUUUGGGAAAUAAGACCCUGCUUUAAUCCCUGGGGUUGUUUCAGCACUGAGCUGCACCCAUGGAACAUGAUUUUUUUUUCUUUUUUUGGAUCCGUUGUUCUCUGGUUGUGGAAUGUUGUAAACAUUCCCCCCAAAACAAUGUCAGCACAAUGCAAAAUGAUACUGCAAAAGGUCUGUUGCAAAAUGAUACAACCAACCUGGAAACUUGGGGGAUUUCAUGCGAUGGAAGAAAGAGGCUGUGGACAGGGACUAAAAUGUGGGUGAGUUAUGGACAGAGGAGGAACUGAUGGUCAGUCCGAGGAAUAGUUAGUUAAACAUGGAGAAAGAGCCCAUUGGUCGAGGCAGGACAGGCUGCUCCAGGGACAGUGAGUCAACCAUCAGAUGGGUCAGAUGCAGACCCAUGUCUGGUUUCCUGGGGCCACCAUCGCAAAAUACCACAAACUGGGCACCUUGCACAAGUUCUGAAAGUUCUCACCAUUCUGGAAGUUCAGUGUCCAAAAUCAAGGUGUUGACAGGGCCGUUCUCCCUCCGAUGGCUCCAGGGAAGAAUCUUCCCUGCCUCUUCUGGCUUUCAUGGCUGCCAGCAAUCCUUGGCAUUGCUUGGUUUGUAGACACAUUGUUCCAGUUCCUGCACAUAACCAAUCUUCCUUCUCUGUGUGUGUCUGUGUCCAAACUUCUCUUAUGAGGUCAUUGGAUUAGGGGCCCACUGUACUCCAGGAUGAGCUCAUCUUACUUUGAUUGCAUCUGCAAAGAUCCUUAUUUCUAGAUAAAGGUCAUAUUCCCAGGUACUGGGACCUAGGACUUCAACGUAUCUUUCUGGGGGACGCAAUUCAACCCACAAUGUGUGUGUGUGUGUGUGUGUGUGUGUGUGUGCGUGUUUAUUUUCUCCCCCAAUGACUCCAGAAUCUGAUUGAAAUAUUAAAUGUGAAUUAUUAAAUACAGUUUGGUGGUGGUAGUGAGGGGGAUAAAUGACCUUCCAACCCCUCCUAUGAGUUAAUUUAUUUUUCUGUUUCAAGAAUUAGCCUGUAGUUUCAAUGGUAGCUCACAUCUUGUUUACUAUAAAGCAGAAUGAGUUCCUUGUCAUAGUUUGUGCUCUGUUUUCGAAGGACACAGUUCCUUCCAAUCAACCCUUUUGUUUCUUGCUCUGGCCUUUCGCUGCCAAUGUUAAUUCGAGGGGCUUUUCUCUAGGACCAGUGAGCCAAAGCUGAUGAAGAGGCCUCUUGGUAAUUCCAGGUCAAUGUGCUGGGCGUGUGAUGAGGGAGGUUGGGUGAGCACAAGAUGUUCAGGACGUGGGUAGGAGGUCAGGGUGAUCUUCCCAAGGACAGAAUGUCCGUCAGCUGCAGGGGCAGGUGAGCAGGGAUGCAGGGGGCCAGGGAAGAGGUGGGGGGGGUCCCCUGAAACAAAAGUCCAGUGUGACCUAAGGGGGGGCAGCAUGGCAGAAACUGUUCAUUCAAGCCUGGGGGGCCCUGGGCUCACCCUUCAUGAGCCACAAUUGGGUUUUUAUAGGAGAGUGUCAUACUCUGAUCUGCAGUCUGAAAGGUCACAGGGCCUGUGGCGUGGGAGGUGCAGGGAGGGAAUAGGGAGAAGGAAGCUGGUUUUCCAGCCGAGGGUAUCUGGAG
RNAcentral lists this long non-coding RNA (5418 nucleotides) under Canis lupus familiaris (dog). Its description in RNAcentral is "lncRNA (ENSCAFG00000058305.1)". The record is from RNAcentral. Lineage: Eukaryota; Metazoa; Chordata; Mammalia; Carnivora; Canidae.